GACGAACGCUGGCGGCGUGCUUAACACAUGCAAGUCGAACGGAAAGGCCCUGCUUUUGUGGGGUGCUCGAGUGGCGAACGGGUGAGAAACACGUGAGUAACCUGCCCUUUACUUUGGGAUAACUUCAGGAAACUGGGGCUAAUACAGGAUAGGAGCUCCUGCUGCAUGGUGGGGGUCGGAAAGUUUCGGCGGUUGGGGAUGGACUUGCGGCUUAUCAGCUUGUUGGUGGGGUAGUGGCUUACCAAGGCUUUGACGGGUAGCCGGCCUGAGAGGGUGACCGGCGACAUUGGGACUGAGAGACGGCCCAGUCUCGUACGGGGGGCAGCAGGGGGGAAUAUGGCACAGUGGGCGGAAGCCUGAUGAGGCAACGCCGCGUGCGGAAUGACGGCCUUCGGGUUGUAAACCGCUUUCGCCUGUGACGAAGCGUGAGUGACGGUAAUGGGUAAAGAAGCACCGGCUAACUACGUG
RNAcentral lists this ribosomal RNA (468 nucleotides) under uncultured bacterium. RNAcentral's name for it is "partial 16S ribosomal RNA". It matches the Rfam family "Bacterial small subunit ribosomal RNA", at positions 28 to 507 of the family's 1533-position model. The record is from RNAcentral.